UUCCAGACUCCUACGGGAGGCAGCAGUGGGGAAUAUUGCACAAUGGGGGAAACCCUGAUGCAGCGACGCCGCGUGAGUGAAGAAGUAUUUCGGUAUGUAAAGCUCUAUCAGCAGGGAAGAUAAUGACGGUACCUGAGUAAGAAGCCCCGGCUAACUACGUGCCAGCAGCCGUGGUAAUACGUAGGGGGCAAGCGUUAUCCGGAUUUACUGGGUGUAAAGGGAGCGUAGACGGCAUGGCAAGUCUGAAGUGAAAGCCCGGGGCUCAACCGCGGGACUGCUUUGGAAGCUGUUAAGCUGGAGUGCAGGAGAGGUAAGUGGAAUUCCUAGUGUAGCGGUGAAAUGCGUAGAUAUUAGGAGGAACACCAGUGGCGAAGGCGGCUUACUGGACUGUAACUGACGUUGAGGCUCGAAAGCGUGGGGAGCAAACAGGAUUAGAUACCCCCGUACC
Molecule: ribosomal RNA, 448 nt
Filed under: uncultured bacterium
Lineage: Bacteria
Description: bacterial SSU rRNA
Rfam family: Bacterial small subunit ribosomal RNA
Source: RNAcentral